Molecule: ribosomal RNA, 497 nt
Filed under: uncultured bacterium
Lineage: Bacteria
Description: partial 16S ribosomal RNA
Rfam family: Bacterial small subunit ribosomal RNA
Source: RNAcentral
GAUGAACGCUGGCGGCGUGCCUAAUACAUGCAAGUCGAGCGAACGGACGAGAAGCUUGCUUCUCUGAUGUUAGCGGCGGACGGGUGAGUAACACGUGGAUAACCUACCUAUAAGACUGGGAUAACUUCGGGAAACCGGAGCUAAUACCGGAUAAUAUUUUGAACCGCAUGGUUCAAAAGUGAAAGACGGUCUUGCUGUCAUUUAUAGAUGGAUCCGCGCUGCAUUAGCUAGUUGGUAAGGUAACGGCUUACCAAGGCAACGAUGCAUAGCCGACCUGAGAGGGUGAUCGGCCACACUGGAACUGAGACACGGUCCAGACUCCUACGGGAGGCAGCAGUAGGGAAUCUUCCGCAAUGGGCGAAAGCCUGACGGAGCAACGCCGCGUGAGUGAAGAAGGUCUUCGGAUCGUAAAACUCUGUUAUUAGGGAAGAACAUAUGUGUAAGUAACUGUGCACAUCUUGACGGUACCUAAUCAGAAAGCCACGGCUAACUACGUG